RNAcentral lists this ribosomal RNA (464 nucleotides) under uncultured bacterium. RNAcentral's name for it is "partial 16S ribosomal RNA". It matches the Rfam family "Bacterial small subunit ribosomal RNA", at positions 28 to 507 of the family's 1533-position model. The record is from RNAcentral.
GACGAACGCUGGCGGCGUGCUUAACACACGCAAGUCGAACGGAAAGGCCCUGCUUGCAGGGUACUCGAGUGGCGAACGGGUGAGUAACACGUGGGUGAUCUGCCCUGCACUUCGGGAUAAGCCUGGGAAACUGGGUCUAAUACCGGAUAGGAGCCAUUUUCAGUGUGAUGGUUGGAACGCUUUUUCGGUGUAGGAUGAGCUCGCGGCCUAUCAGCUUGUUGGUGGGGUAAUGGCCUACCAAGGCGGCGACGGGUAGCCGGCCUGAGAGGGUGGGCGGCCACAUGGGGACUGAGAUACGGCCCAGACUCCUACGGGAGGCAGCAGUGGGGAAUAUUGCACAAUGGGCGCAAGCCUGAUGCAGCGACGCCGCGUGGUGGAUGACGGCCUUCUGGUUGUAAACUCCUUUCGCUAGGGACGAAGCUGUUGUGACAGUACCUAGAUAAGAGACACCGGCUAACUACGUA